CUUUACUAUAACUUGGCCCUGAAACCCGGAUUGAUCUGUGUAGGAUAGGUGGGAGACUUUGAAGCUUUGGCGCUAGCCAGAGUGGAGUCAACCUUGAAAUACCACCCUGAUUAAUCUGUGUUUCUAACCCAGUCCCCUUAUCGGGGACGGGAACACGGUCUGGUGGGUAGUUUGACUGGGGCGGUCGCCUCCCAAAUUGUAACGGAGGCGCACAAGGGUUCCCUCAGCCUGGACGGAAAUCAGGCGUAGAGUGUAUUGGCACAAGGGAGCUUGACUGUGAGACUGACAGGUCGAGCAGGUGCUAAAGCAGGUCAAAGUGAUCCGGCGGUUCCGAAUGGAAGGGCCGUCGCUCAACGGAUAAAAGGUA
Molecule: ribosomal RNA, 367 nt
Filed under: uncultured organism
Description: bacterial LSU rRNA
Rfam family: Bacterial large subunit ribosomal RNA
Source: RNAcentral